AACCGAUAGAGUUAUCUGGAAAAUAAAAAAAAGAAAAGAAAAGAAAAGUGGAAUAAAGCAUGAUUGGUCCGAAGUAAGUAUGUAUUUGUAUUGACAUGCACAUUUCAUCAAGUGUCUCGUUAGUUUUUUAUCUUUGAGGAGUAUCUGUUUCUCCCUCCCCCAUUUGGUCUGAAAAGACAUGAGAGGACCGCUCCCUGUGGAUGUUAGCGUACCCUCUGACGAGAG
This 225-nucleotide long non-coding RNA is filed under the name Carica papaya (papaya). RNAcentral describes it as "long non-coding RNA (CPAP_LNC010154)". The record is from RNAcentral. Lineage: Eukaryota; Viridiplantae; Streptophyta; Magnoliopsida; Brassicales; Caricaceae.